UGGAGGGAAUGAGGAAAUACCAGACAAAGCCGGUAAAUUAUAACAAAGUGAAGGAAAUUACUCAGGAAGGGAAUGACAAUUCAGCUGUGUACUUUAACAGGCUCCCUGAGGCUUUCAGAAAGUAAAGUUAUAUAGACCCGGAGCAUGCAGAGGGUCAUACACUUCUAGCCAUACAUUUCAUUACCCAAGUGGCACCAGACAUUCAGAGAAAGCUCCAAAAGCUGGGAACUAGCCCCCACAUCCCUCAGGCAGCAUUUGUAGCACAGGCCUUUAAGGUAUUUAAUAAUCAUGACUAGUCAGAGGAGGAUGAGAAGAAUAAGAUAAUGAAAAAAAAAACAGGGCACAAAUUUGAGUUGCCAUAAUUACAAGUCUGCCUCAAGAUAACCCUAUGCAACAGAGAAACCCUGGAUGAGACAUGGUUAAACCACUCCUGGCAUCAGCAAGCUGGGAUGAAACCAGUGUGCUAGCUGCAAGAAGGAAGAACACUAGAGAAAGCAUUGUCCACUCCAUUCUGGGAAGUGGAGAUGAAGUGAGCCUCCACAGCCUACUCCUUUUAUAGCAUCUUGGAUGAGAAGGCUAUCCCCUCUGACUGAGGGGCCCCAAGAGCUUGCCCAGCUUCAGUCUUGAAGUCUUGAGAAAUUUCAUCAUCGUCACCUUGGUGGAGCCUCGAGUCACCUUCUAUGUGGCAGACCCAGCAUUCAUCCCCCAAGAGAUGCAGCAUGGGUGCAGUGACAAGAGAUCAACUUGAAAAAAGUGACCAGGUUUUCAUCUCACCAGACGCCAAGGCAGCUGGUGUCUCAGUAUUGGACUUCCAGCCUUCAGAACUGUGAGAAAUAAAUUUAUUUCUUUUUUUAUCAGAAAA
RNAcentral lists this long non-coding RNA (862 nucleotides) under Homo sapiens (human). RNAcentral describes it as "HSALNT0057841". Lineage: Eukaryota; Metazoa; Chordata; Mammalia; Primates; Hominidae. The record is from RNAcentral.